This 300-nucleotide unclassified non-coding RNA is filed under the name uncultured Heterobasidion. RNAcentral's name for it is "sequence contains 5.8S rRNA gene, ITS2". The stretch from base 1 to 71 matches the Rfam family "5.8S ribosomal RNA", at positions 84 to 154 of the family's 154-position model. The record is from RNAcentral. Lineage: Eukaryota; Fungi; Basidiomycota; Agaricomycetes; Russulales; Bondarzewiaceae.
GUGAGUCAUCGAAUCUUUGAACGCACCUUGCGCCCUUUGGUAUUCCGAAGGGCACGCCUGUUUGAGUGUCGUGAAAUUCUCAACCCUGUGCUUUUCUUGUGAAAGCGCGUGGGCUUGGACUUGGAGGCUUUGCUGGUCCUCGCGGAUCGGCUCCUCUCAAAUGCAUUAGCGAGACCCUUGUGGUGCCGCCCCCGGUGUGAUAAUUGUCUACGCCGUGGUGGUACGCCACGAUUGUGGGGGACCUGCUUCCAACCGUCGAAAGACAAACUUUAUCGAAACUUGACCUCAAAUCAGGCGGGA